AACUGAUACUACCUGCGGGAACCUGCGGAAGGAUCAUAACUGGUUAAACUUUAUAAACACCAGAGUUUCAAACUCUGUGUUUGCAAACAAAAAACACCCUUCAAAACAGCUAUUCAGUGUCUGAAUUAACUAGUUUAAUAUAAAAACAACUUUUAACAACGGAUCUCU
Molecule: unclassified non-coding RNA, 168 nt
Filed under: soil metagenome
Description: partial contains 5.8S ribosomal RNA, internal transcribed spacer 2, and large subunit ribosomal RNA
Source: RNAcentral